RNAcentral lists this ribosomal RNA (1823 nucleotides) under uncultured marine bacterium. Its description in RNAcentral is "bacterial SSU rRNA". The stretch from base 1 to 1498 matches the Rfam family "Bacterial small subunit ribosomal RNA". The record is from RNAcentral.
AACGAACGCUGGCGGUGUGCUUAACACAUGCAAGUCGAACGAGAAAGUUUCCUUCGGGAAGCUAGUAAAGUGGCGCAAGGGUGAGUAACACGUGAAUAAUCUGCCCUCGAGAUCGGGAUAACCUGAGGAAACUUAGGCUAAUACCGGAUAAGACCACAUUUCAUAUGGAAUGUGGGAAAAGGAGUCUCAAUCUUCACUCGAGGAUGAGUUCGCGGACCAUUAGCUUGUUGGUGAGAUAAAAGCUCACCAAGGCAACGAUGGUUAGCCGGCCUGAGAGGGCGAUCGGCCACACUGGAACUGAGACACGGUCCAGACUCCUACGGGAGGCAGCAGUGGGGAAUAUUGCGCAAUGGGCGAAAGCCUGACGCAGCAACACCGUGUGAGCGAUGAAGGCCUUAGGGUUGUAAAGCUCUGUCAAAUGGGAAGAAUUAUGACGGUACCAUUAGAGGAAGCCCCGGCUAACUCCGUGCCAGCAGCCGCGGUAAUACGGAGGGGGCAAGCGUUGUUCGGAAUUAUUGGGCGUAAAGCGUAUGUAGGCGGCCGAGUUAGUCAAGCGUGUAAGCCCGUGGCUCAACCACGGAAUUGCGUUUGAAACUACCCGGCUUGAGUACAGGAGAGGAAAGCGGAAUUCCCAGUGUAGCGGUGAAAUGCAUUGAUAUUGGGAAGAACAUCUGUGGCGAAGGCGGCUUUCUGGUCUGUUACUGACGCUGAGAUACGAAAGCCAGGGGAGCGAACGGGAUUAGAUACCCCGGUAGUCCUGGCUGUAAACGAUGGGCACUAGGCGCAGGAGGUAUCGAUCCCCUCUGUGCCGUAGCUAACGCAUUAAGUGCCCCGCCUGGGGAGUACGGUCGCAAGGCUGAAACUCAAAGGAAUUGACGGGGGCCCGCACAAGCGGUGGAGCAUGUGGUUUAAUUCGACGCAACGCGAAGAACCUUACCUGGACUUGACAUGCACAGGAAAGCCAUAGAGAUAUGGCCCCUCUUCGGAGUCUGUGUGCAGGUGCUGCAUGGCUGUCGUCAGCUCGUGUCGUGAGAUGUUGGGUUAAGUCCCGCAACGAGCGCAACCCCUGCCAUUAGUUGCCAUCAGGUUAUGCUGGGGAACUCUAAUGGGACUGCCGGUGAUAAACCGGAGGAAGGUGGGGAUGACGUCAAGUCCUCAUGGCCUUUAUGUCCAGGGCUACACACGUGCUACAAUGGCUGGUACAAAGAGUCGCAAGACCGCGAGGUGGAGCUAAUCUCAAAAAACCAGUCUCAGUUCGGAUUGGAGUCUGCAACUCGACUCUAUGAAGUUGGAAUCGCUAGUAAUCGUGAAUCAGCAUGCCACGGUGAAUACGUUCCCGGGCCUUGUACACACCGCCCGUCACACCAUGAAAGCCGAUUGUACCGGAAGUCACGAUGCUAACCCGCAAGGGAAGCUGAUGCCUAUGGUAUGGUUGGUGAUCGGGGUGAAGUCGUAACAAGGUAGCCGUAGGGGAACCUGCGGCUGGAUCACCUCCUUUCUAAGGAGUAAUCGGCUCGUUAAACAGUCGCAUUCAUCUCUUAGAUCGAUACCCACAAAUGACGUUGAGGCGCCUAUUCUUUCUUUUUUUUCUCCGGAUCCUCGGAGGGCUUAUAAGAUGAUUGAACUUAAGUCUAAUGGGCCUAUAGCUCAGUUGGUCAGAGCGCACGCCUGAUAAGCGUGAGGUCGAUAGUUCAAAUCUAUCUAGGCCCACCAAAAUAUGUCCCGCUUGAUUAAGCAGGGACACGGAUCAUAAAAGGAACACCAUGGGGGUGUAGCUCAGCUGGGAGAGCACCUGCCUUGCACGCAGGGGGUCGACGGUUCGA